UUUUUUAGUAAUAAAAUAAAACUGCUAGAUUAAAGGCUUAAAGGACAAAAUAGUAUAAGAGAGAAAAGAAAUUACAAAGAAAGCAAAUCCACUAAUCUAAAAUUAGGGGGCCAAAAGCCCUAAGAGCAAUACAAAAAAAAAGGGUUAAAAACAUGGGCCAAAGACCCGAUAAACCCGAACCAGGCUUAAAGCCCAAUAAAUCGGCACCAAGGCCUACUGAAAAUAAAAAUUUGCUAACUGGUCCUAGCACAAUCUAUCUUCUCUAGAAAGAUCAUUCCCCCUCUCCUUGAGACCCAUGACCUUUAAAUGCUAGAGAUCAAAACCCUAGACUUUCUCCAUCAUCAAAUCAUCCAAGCACUAUCCAUCCUUAAGCCACAACGUAAAAAAUACAAGGUAAACAGCAUGAAAGCACAACCACCCGAAGACAGAGACAAACCAAUCAGAAGAAAAAAAUCGAUGCACCAUCGAAGACCUAAUCUUGAGAGGAUCGAUAAUCACUCCUAUACCCCCAUCAAAUCCAGCAGCUUAUCUUUUUUCAAGCUUGCAUUCGUUCAUAUACGAACUCCCAUAGGAUGACAAUAUGCCUGAGAAGUGAAUUGAGCUGCACCAAGAAUAAAAUACCAUGCGCCAAAAACCAUUGAAAAAGCCAACCAAAUGCCUAACACGAGACAUUAAAACAUGAAAUAAAACUAAUUACAAAAGAAAGAGAAAAACAAAGAAAUAAGGAAAGGCCAUAUUGGCCAUUGGGGAGGCUGUGGAUAGAUAAAUACGCCGACAGCCGCCCAACUGAAAACCCUAAAUGUGAAAAUAGAUAGAUAGAGAGAGAGAUGGAUAAAAAAUAUGGAGAAGAAAUAAAGAAAAUAAUUACAUUUUACAACUUUAAGUGGAAUAUGUUUUAAAGAGCAAAUCCAACACUUUUUAAAAUUCAACUUAAACUUGCGUUCCACUUGAAGUUUAAAUUCGACUUGUUGAAAAAUUGGUUUCGACUUUUCUUGAUCCUGUAUUUAAU
This 1009-nucleotide long non-coding RNA is filed under the name Ricinus communis (castor bean). Its description in RNAcentral is "long non-coding RNA (RCOM_LNC002620)". The record is from RNAcentral. Lineage: Eukaryota; Viridiplantae; Streptophyta; Magnoliopsida; Malpighiales; Euphorbiaceae.